AGGUCAUUUCAAAGAGAGCUUAUGGGACCAAAACCCGGAGUUCCUAAUGCUGUGAGACUUAAAGGUGAAGUUCUCCAUCGGAUAAAAUAGACACUUAGCAGUGCUAUGUUUUCUCGAGGAGAUAUAAGA
Phyllostomus discolor (pale spear-nosed bat) is the source of this 129-nucleotide small nucleolar RNA. RefSeq annotates it as small nucleolar RNA SNORA25. Lineage: Eukaryota; Metazoa; Chordata; Mammalia; Chiroptera; Phyllostomidae. The record is from RefSeq and is a predicted model, not a curated record. The transcript has a single exon.